CAAAGAACUUUGAAGAGAGAGUUCAAGAGGACGUGAAACUGUUUAGAAGGAAACGGGUAGAGCUGCGAAAUGCUCGGUCGAUUCAGGCAGUUGAGUUGUGCGUGCACUGGUUUGUAGAUCGUAAGACUACGGCUGGAUGUUCUGUACUUUUCGUCUGUUGCAUUUUGACCGAGUAGCACUAGCGGCCCUGAUGCGCCAGUAUUGCCUGCAGGUUGAAGGUGCUGUUUCGGCAGUUAUCGCACUGUGGAGUAGUACUCGUGUGUGUCACGGUUAUGAGCUGCAGAGACGUACGUGCGGUGUAUUGUCGUGGUUGAUGUAUGCGUGGCGACGUGCUAGCACGAGACUGCGUAUGCGCUGAUCAUCGGUGGUAAUCCGCUCUUUGCACUCGCUGGUGAACAAGUCAGUCACCUACCCGACCCGUCUUGAAACACGGACCAAGGAGUCUAACAUGUAUGCGAGUUGUAGGGUGUAAAACCUGAAGGCGCAAUGAAAGUAAAGUUUAACGAUACAGGAUUCGGGCAACCGAAGCACUGUAGUCCCGUUCUAUUUGCAUGUCAAAGGAGCGGCGAAAGAGCAUACACGUUGGGACCCGAAAGAUGGUGAACUAUGCCUGAGCAGGGCGAAGCCAGAGGAAACUCUGGUGGAGGCUCGAAACGGUUCUGACGUGCAAAUCGAUCGUCAGACUUGGGUAUAGGGGCGAAAGACUAAUCGAACCAUC
RNAcentral lists this ribosomal RNA (718 nucleotides) under Daptonema sp. 2 MJR-2013. RNAcentral's name for it is "eukaryotic LSU rRNA". It matches the Rfam family "Eukaryotic large subunit ribosomal RNA", at positions 367 to 944 of the family's 3401-position model. Lineage: Eukaryota; Metazoa; Nematoda; Chromadorea; Monhysterida; Xyalidae. The record is from RNAcentral.